CCUACGGGAGGCAGCAGUGAGGAAUAUUGGUCAAUGGGCGAGAGCCUGAACCAGCCAAGUCGCGUGAGGGAGUACUGCCCUAUGGGUUGUAAACCUCUUUUGUCGGGGAGCAAACUCCGGACGUGUCCGGCUGUUAGAUUACCCGAAGAAACAGCAUCGGCUAACUCCGUGCCAGCAGCCGCGGUAAUACGGGGGAUGCAAGCGUUAUCCGGAUUGAUUGGGUUUAAAGGGUGCGUAGGCUGUGAGGUAAGUCAGCGGUGAAAUGCCCCCGCUCAACGGGGUGAAGUGCCAUUGAUACUGCCGUGCUGGAAUGCGGAUGCCGUGGGAGGAAUGUGGGGUGUAGCGGUGAAAUGCAUAGAGAUCACACAGAACACCGAUUGCGAAGGCAUCUCACGAAGCCGCGAUUGACGCUGAUGCACGAAAGCGUGGGUAUCAAACAGGAUUAGAUACCCCUGUAGUC
Molecule: ribosomal RNA, 460 nt
Filed under: uncultured bacterium
Lineage: Bacteria
Description: partial 16S ribosomal RNA
Rfam family: Bacterial small subunit ribosomal RNA
Source: RNAcentral